ACAACAACCGAAUAGAACAGAUUUACGUGCGUAUAAAUACA
This 41-nucleotide unclassified non-coding RNA is filed under the name Leishmania tarentolae. RNAcentral describes it as "gND8III". Lineage: Eukaryota; Euglenozoa; Kinetoplastea; Trypanosomatida; Trypanosomatidae. The record is from RNAcentral.